This 251-nucleotide ribosomal RNA is filed under the name uncultured bacterium. RNAcentral describes it as "partial 16S rRNA". It matches the Rfam family "Bacterial small subunit ribosomal RNA", at positions 505 to 755 of the family's 1533-position model. The record is from RNAcentral.
GUGCCAGCCGCCGCGGUAAUACGUAGGUGGCAAGCGUUGUCCAGAUUUACUGGGCGUAAAGGAUGUGUAGGCGGAUAUUUAAGUGAGAUGUGAAAUCCCCGGGCUUAACUUGGGGGCUGCAUUUCAAACUGGAUGUCUAGAGUGCAGGAGAGGAAAGCAGAAUUCCUAGUGUAGCGGUGAAAUGCGUAGAGAUUAGGAAGAAGACCAGUGGCGAAGGCGUGUUUCUGGCCUGUAACUGCCGCGGAGGCAUG